Molecule: long non-coding RNA, 254 nt
Filed under: Lathyrus oleraceus (garden pea)
Lineage: Eukaryota; Viridiplantae; Streptophyta; Magnoliopsida; Fabales; Fabaceae
Description: Pisum sativum (pea) long non-coding RNA (PSAT_LNC029182)
Source: RNAcentral
GCCUUGAUCCAGCAAGGCAUGAUUACGAUAAAACAAGACUAUUACUCUCUUAUGUGCCAAAAAGUCCAUGUUCUUGAUUUACCUGCUUAUGAUUUUAUCAGUAUCACUAAUAGAUCCAACUGGCUCUAUGACUGUCCCGACCCGAAAGAGGGGGACGAAGAUUUGUUUGACUCUUUGCCUGCAGAUGAACCGAUGGAAGGUGCACCGAGCAUCGAAGAGCCUUUUUACCAACAACCGCCAGAACCAACUCAAGC